CAGGUUGGACGACCUUCCUGCGCGUCGUUGAUCAGGGGACGACCCCA
This 47-nucleotide non-coding RNA is filed under the name Serratia odorifera. Its description in RNAcentral is "Guanidine-II sequence". It matches the Rfam family "Guanidine-II riboswitch aptamer (mini-ykkC)". From Rfam's summary of the family: Simpler in structure and has fewer highly conserved nucleotide positions than the ykkC-yxkD leader. Despite this each of its two stem-loop structures directly bind free guanidine. Therefore, mini-ykkC RNA motif represents a distinct class of guanidine-sensing RNAs. Lineage: Bacteria; Pseudomonadati; Pseudomonadota; Gammaproteobacteria; Enterobacterales; Yersiniaceae. RNAcentral also lists the same sequence under 1 other name. The record is from RNAcentral.